UCCCGGCUAGCUCAGUUGGUAGAGCGUCAGACUCUUAAUCGCAAGGGUUUCUGCGUAUGAUCGCAGUAUUAAUCUGAAUGUCGUGGGUUCGAGCCCCACGUUGGGAG
Molecule: non-coding RNA, 107 nt
Organism: Tilletia walkeri
Lineage: Eukaryota; Fungi; Basidiomycota; Exobasidiomycetes; Tilletiales; Tilletiaceae
Source: Rfam